This 626-nucleotide ribosomal RNA is filed under the name Escherichia coli. Its description in RNAcentral is "partial 23S ribosomal RNA". It matches the Rfam family "Bacterial large subunit ribosomal RNA", at positions 604 to 1230 of the family's 2925-position model. The record is from RNAcentral. Lineage: Bacteria; Pseudomonadati; Pseudomonadota; Gammaproteobacteria; Enterobacterales; Enterobacteriaceae.
CCUUUUGUAUAAUGGGUCAGCGACUUAUAUUCUGUAGCAAGGUUAACCGAAUAGGGGAGCCGAAGGGAAACCGAGUCUUAACUGGGCGUUAAGUUGCAGGGUAUAGACCCGAAACCCGGUGAUCUAGCCAUGGGCAGGUUGAAGGUUGGGUAACACUAACUGGAGGACCGAACCGACUAAUGUUGAAAAAUUAGCGGAUGACUUGUGGCUGGGGGUGAAAGGCCAAUCAAACCGGGAGAUAGCUGGUUCUCCCCGAAAGCUAUUUAGGUAGCGCCUCGUGAAUUCAUCUCCGGGGGUAGAGCACUGUUUCGGCAAGGGGGUCAUCCCGACUUACCAACCCGAUGCAAACUGCGAAUACCGGAGAAUGUUAUCACGGGAGACACACGGCGGGUGCUAACGUCCGUCGUGAAGAGGGAAACAACCCAGACCGCCAGCUAAGGUCCCAAAGUCAUGGUUAAGUGGGAAACGAUGUGGGAAGGCCCAGACAGCCAGGAUGUUGGCUUAGAAGCAGCCAUCAUUUAAAGAAAGCGUAAUAGCUCACUGGUCGAGUCGGCCUGCGCGGAAGAUGUAACGGGGCUAAACCAUGCACCGAAGCUGCGGCAGCGACGCUGAUGCGUUGUUGGGUA